This 497-nucleotide ribosomal RNA is filed under the name uncultured bacterium. Its description in RNAcentral is "partial 16S ribosomal RNA". It matches the Rfam family "Bacterial small subunit ribosomal RNA", at positions 28 to 507 of the family's 1533-position model. The record is from RNAcentral.
GAUGAACGCUGGCGGCGUGUCUAAUACAUGCAAGUAGAACGCUGAAGGAAGUAGCUUGCUCUUUACGGAUGAGUUGCGAACGGGUUAGUAACGCGUAGUUAACCUGCCUGGUAGCGGGGGAUAACUAUUUGAAACGAUAGCUACUACCGCAUAACAGUAGAUUUUUCAUGUUAUCUACUUAAAAGGUUCAAUUUCACCACUACCAGAUGUACCUACGUUGUAUUAGCUAGUUGGUGAGGUAACGGCUUCCCAAGGCGACGAUACAUAGCCGACCUGAGAGGGUGAUCGGCUACUUUGGGACUGAGACACAGCCGAGACACCUAGAGGAGGAAGCAGUAGGGAAUCUUAGGCAAUGGAGGAAAGGCGGGCCGAGCAACGCCGCGGGAGUGAAGAAGGUUCUAGGAUCGGAAAGCUAUGUUGUAAGAGAAGAACGAGAGUGAGAGUGGAAAGUUCACACUGUGACGGUAUCUUAACAGAAAGGGACGGCUAACUCCGUG